UGGUGGGGGAGAUUACUGGGACAGUGAUAAUCACUGCAGCCUCUGAAAUACUUUAGCCCCCAUGCUCUCUUCCCAAGGACCCCUGCUGUUCCUGGGCCUGGGAUAGAACCCCGGUCACUGCAGAGACAAUGCCAGAUCCUUAACUGGCUGCGCCGCGCCUCACCAGCAACCCCAAAAUGUGGUCUUUAGACCAACAGCAUGGACAUUACCCAGGAGCUUGCUGGAUAUGCAGACUCCCAGGCCUACCACAUUCCACCUAAUUCAGCACUUUAAACAAGAUCCUCGGGUGAUUCAGGAUCACAUUCAAAUUUGAGAAGAGGCUUCGACUGAAAGGAGCUACUCGAGGUCACUUGGUGGUUAGGGGCUGGACUGAGGUUGGAACCUGCCAAAUGUGCUGAUGGACAUCUCUCUGGAAUGACCUAUUAGACUUCUUCCUCCAUGGUAUUUAUUUGCUUUUUUGACCCUGGACUCAUAUAUACACUGUUUACACUAUUUAGCAUCUUGCCUUUUUCUUUCUUUCUUUCUUUCUUUUUUUUUUUUCUUGGUUUUUUUGGUUGCUCCUUGGCGUAUGAAGUUCACAGGCGAGGGAUCAGAUCCCAGCCAUUGUUGCGACCAUCGCCUGAUCCUUUAACCCACUCUGCUGGGCCUGGAAUUGAACCUGCGUUCUGGAGCUGCAGAAAUACCAUCAAUCCCAUUGUGCCACCGUGGGAACUCCAGCAUCUUUCCUUUCUACUAAGCGGUAGAUCUUGGAGCUCUCUGUACAUCCGCAGUUUCAGACGUACUGUUUCCUUUUCACAGGUGCAUAGGGUUUCAUCGUCUGGAUGAGUUUUCGAACCAGGCCCCCGUUGGCAUUUAGGGUUUUGAUUGUUUGCACUAUAUACAAACAGUAUCUGCACACAUGGAGUUCCUGGUGUGGCUCAGCGGAAACAAAUCUGUUAGCAUCCGUGAGGAUGCAGGUGCUAUCCCUGGCCUUUUUCAGUGGGUUAAAGAC
Molecule: non-coding RNA, 991 nt
Organism: Sus scrofa (pig)
Lineage: Eukaryota; Metazoa; Chordata; Mammalia; Artiodactyla; Suidae
Source: RefSeq, a predicted model, not a curated record